Molecule: ribosomal RNA, 381 nt
Filed under: uncultured bacterium
Lineage: Bacteria
Description: bacterial SSU rRNA
Rfam family: Bacterial small subunit ribosomal RNA
Source: RNAcentral
GACGAACGCUGGCGGCGUGCUUAACACAUGCAAGUGGAGCGACGAACCGGGGCUUGCCCCGGGGGCAGAGCCGCGAACGGGUGAGUAACACGUGGGUUACCUGCCCUGAUGACCGGGACAACCCGUCGAAAGACGGGCUAAUACCGGAUGUGCCCGCAAGGGGAAAGGAGGCGUAAGCUUCCGCAUCGGGAUGGGCCCGCGGAGCAUUAGCUUGUUGGUGGGGUAAAAGCUCACCAAGGCUUCGAUGCUAGCUGGUCUGAGAGGACGAUCAGCCACACUGGGACUGAGACACGGCCCAGACUCCUACGGGAGGCAGCCGUGGGGAAUCUUGCGCAAUGCGCGAAAGCGUGACGCAGCAACGCCGCGUGCGGGAAGACGGCC